Daucus carota subsp. sativus is the source of this 2697-nucleotide long non-coding RNA. RefSeq lists it as uncharacterized. The transcript is spliced from 12 exons. NCBI's taxonomy places the organism in Eukaryota, Viridiplantae, Streptophyta, Magnoliopsida, Apiales, Apiaceae. The record is from RefSeq and is a predicted model, not a curated record.
UAUUUUAAGAUCAUCUUUUUUUAGCAAGAAAAAACGCCAUGGCAGAUACGCCUUAUGAAUUUUAUUUCCGAAGAUCAGUUAGAAGAAGCUAAAAGAACAAGAGGGGCUAGGCUUGAAGAUGGUACUGCUCAGAGAGAUAGACCCCUUUUCGAGCAAUCACAUCCGCGCCUUUGAUUGUGGACAAGCGAUGAGCUACUACUACUGUUGUCCGGUUCAACAUCACCUGGUCCAGUGCAUCUUGUACAACUCUCUCUGAUUCAGCAUCUAAAGCGCUUGUAGCUUCGUCCAGAAGCAGUAUCUUCGGACUUUUGACAAUGGCACGAGCAAUGGCAACACGCUGCUUCUGCCCACCAGAUAACUGUAUGCCUCUCUCCCCUACUAAGUGUGUGUUUCUCUAACCUGUUGCAAUCCACUUAUGAACUGAUGAGCAUUGGCUUUUUCUGCUGCAGCUAUAACUUCAGCUUCAGUUGCAUCGCCACCCUUCCCAUAAGCAAUGUUGCUUCUAAUCGUAUCAUUGAACAAGGCUGGUUCUUGGCUUACAAGUCCCAUCUGUUGCCUCAACCACUUCACUUGCAAGAAGAAUAAUAAUGAAUAUAUGGAUUUGGACACAGCCAGAGUCUUAUAAGUAAGAAUGUCUUGCCUUGCCACUUCGAAUUGUCAAGCUAAGGUCUCGCAAAAUUUGAACAUCAGGUCUAUUUCCGGCUUUCUGUCUAGGAUUGAAAAAAUAGAUGCAGCAGCUGCUUUAGCUUUGUAUGAAUCUGAUGCCACGGAACUUGAUUGAGAAAUACUGAUAGCAGCCAUUGUCAGUGCAAAGAAAACCUGCAAGGUAUAAUUUUCUUAUCCUGGAAGCCUGUCUCUCUCCGGUGACCAUCCAGCAAGCCACCUCUGUAAACACAAUCGAAGAAAUGAUGCUACACCAGUUCCCAGUCCCAGAUAAACAAACUUUAGCGAAACCUGAUUUAAACAGUUUAAACAGAAUUUGCCAAUUCUCCGUAAAGGACAGUCAUCAAGGGCAUGCUCAAUCCAUUGCCAAUAGAGCCAAUGAUACCGAAUAUCAUCAGCAUAACAUCCACAGAAUCAGCAAAUGCAAAGAGCUUAUGAAACGGUACUAUAUUGGUACUCUCCUUUUCUUUUGAGCCAUGCCCACCGGAACUUCUUUCCACCCCUGUAUCCAGGACCUGCGCUGUGGAGGUUCCACUCAUGUCUUCGCUAACAUCAUUGGCCAUGCUAUCAGUGCUGCUAACCAACUCCGCGUUUGCUCUCUUCAAGUCAGCAGAAAACAAAUCUCCCUUAUAUCUUGGAAAUGGAUCCGAAAUUCAUCUUCAUUGCAGACUUUGUUGCUUUUAUCUCUAGUGCAGCGUCGGUUCUGCAUUCAUGCCUAAGAAUGUAUGUGUACACGAGUUUACAACACAACUUAUGUUUCUGAGAUGAAAACGCAUGAUUAAAUGCCUUUUCAAAGUCCUGCAGGCCUGUGGAAAGAUAGAUGUCUGUUGAUUUUUUUUAAUUAUCUGAGUAACAAUGUGAUAAGCAAGAUGAGAUCUUUACUACUAUUAAAGUGUACCAACUUACUAUGCAAAAGUUAGUAAAAUAUUGUUGUGACAAAAAGGAGUGUUUGGACAAUUUUCGAGGAUACGGCCUCAAAUAUCAUUACCGGAAAAAAUGCCCCCAAAUAUCAUUUUACAAUCCAAACGUUAAAACGUUAGAUGGUGUGUUAUUCAUUUUUCCUUUUUUACUUCUUAACGCCAGAUCGUUUAGCAUUUGAAGGCCUGGAUACUAUUUUUAUUUCACCCUCUAAAACGUCAUAUCAUGUUAUAUUUUGUAGUGAUUUUUAGAUCUAACCGCAACACAAUGUAACAUGUUCUUUUGAAAAUCAAAACACUGGACUAUCCAGUUUUUGACAAUUUCGGCUCUGUUUUUUAUUUUUACUUCAAACUUCACGUACACAAGUUGCAUCAUUUUGAAUCCUUAGAUACACAUCAUACACAUCAUGUAUUUCAAAAAUACCCUCCACUAACGGUGUUAAAUGAAGUUAACGGUUGUACACAAAAUGCACACAUUUUAUUAACUUAAGAUACACAUUUUGCAAUUCUCAAACAACAGAUACACAAGUUGCAUAAUUUGAAAACUUCAAAUACACAUCCUACAUUUUACUCUGAAAAUAAAGCAAAGUGCAGAUGACAAAUACAACUAGCAGAGUGCUUGUCAUUCUCAUCCUCAAGUACUUUUAAGCCUGUUUAUCUCUCAAAAUUUGGCUUUCGAUUUCUAGAUUGGAAGAGGGUACUUGUCAAUAUCAUCAUAUUUGAUAGGACCAUGGUUCAUAUCAAGUACUACCAAUGCUUCUUGCACCUGCAGGUCCUGCACAUCCUCGGCUUCUUGCAUUCACAAAAGAUAGUCUUGAACAUAGAUGAUAUUGCUACAUAUUGCUCAUGUUGCCUCCAUUUGCUCAUCAGACUUACCCUUACGUAGCAACCGGCAAAGAUGUUCAAGUGCUCCUUAAACUCAUUUCUUAGCCCAUUUAAAGAAAGGAGGCCAGCUCUUCUUGGUAAGUCCCAGGAGGUCUCUACACCACUGCAUCCCUUAGCAAUGAAGUUUUUUCUUCAUUUUAUGUUUCCAUAAUUAUGCUUUUCUUUAUUGGGAGGUCCCCGGUAUAUGUAUGCUGAGACUUGUUAAAUAAUAUACAUGUUCUUGGCUGCUGUA